RNAcentral lists this transfer RNA (87 nucleotides) under Betaproteobacteria bacterium RIFCSPLOWO2_02_64_14. RNAcentral describes it as "tRNA-Leu". It matches the Rfam family "tRNA". From Rfam's summary of the family: Transfer RNA (tRNA) molecules are approximately 80 nucleotides in length. Their secondary structure includes four short double-helical elements and three loops (D, anti-codon, and T loops). Further hydrogen bonds mediate the characteristic L-shaped molecular structure. tRNAs have two regions of fundamental functional importance: the anti-codon, which is responsible for specific mRNA codon recognition, and the 3' end, to which the tRNAs corresponding amino acid is attached (by aminoacyl-tRNA synthetases). tRNAs cope with the degeneracy of the genetic code in two manners: having more than one tRNA (with a specific anti-codon) for a particular amino acid; and 'wobble' base-pairing, i.e. permitting non-standard base-pairing at the 3rd anti-codon position. RNAcentral also lists the same sequence under 1 other name. The record is from RNAcentral. Lineage: Bacteria; Pseudomonadati; Pseudomonadota; Betaproteobacteria.
GCCGAGGUGGCGAAAUUGGUAGACGCACCAGGUUCAGGUCCUGGCGGUGGCAACACUGUGGGGGUUCGAAUCCCUUCCUCGGCACCA